RNAcentral lists this unclassified non-coding RNA (327 nucleotides) under Hevea brasiliensis (rubber tree). Lineage: Eukaryota; Viridiplantae; Streptophyta; Magnoliopsida; Malpighiales; Euphorbiaceae. The record is from RNAcentral.
UCGAUUUGGAGAAGGCUUAUGAUAAUGUUCCAAGAUAUGUCUAAUGGAGAGUGUUAGAACAAAAGAGAGUAUCUAUUAGGUACGUCCAGGUAUUGAAAGAUAUGUAUGAAGGAUCAACUACUAUUGUGCGCACAGUGGAAGGAGAUGCAAGAGAUUUUCCUAUCUUAGUUGGAUUACACCAAGGUUCAGCUGUAACCCCUUACAUUUUUACAUUAAUUCUAGAUGAAUGGACGAAACAUAUACAAGAGAGUAUCUCUUGGUGCAUGAUAUUUGCGGAUGAUAUAGUUCUAAUAGAUGAGAUGUGAGAAGGAGUCAAUAGAAAGUUAG